Long non-coding RNA from Cynoglossus semilaevis (tongue sole), 1124 nucleotides. RefSeq lists it as uncharacterized. The record is from RefSeq and is a predicted model, not a curated record. The transcript has 3 exons. NCBI's taxonomy places the organism in Eukaryota, Metazoa, Chordata, Actinopteri, Pleuronectiformes, Cynoglossidae.
UAUACAUAAAAAUAGACUUUAACAGUAACUUACUACGGCAGAAGUAGCCAAUGUACAUAAUACAUUUUAAACCCAUCUACAAAGUUUCUGCUAGGCAUUAAAUGGCCACUGGAUGGCAGUGAAGAUAUAUAAAAACGUUUUGUUUCAAGUUGUACUGGGCAAGUAGUGUAUGGGCAGAUAUGUCAUAUAUAUAUAUAUAGGAAAGCAGUGGUGGACCGUCAGGGCCAGCAAGGCCUUCUCUGCUGGCCUAACAUAAAUUAUGAUCAUAAGUUGAUAAAGGUUCAUUUAAUUAUUUAUUUACUUUUCAUAAAUACACGAAGCAUACUUCAUAUUCUCUCCAUGUCAUAUUAGGCUCCUUCCAGUGUUGAUGUUUUUAGGUUAGAGUUUUUAUCCAAUCAGAAUUCAGCAAUGUAAGCGAACCGAAGCGAACGGGCACAUACAGUUGAUAGACAGUUACUCUUGCCAAUCAGAUCACGAGUUGUUGACUGUAGGCCUUCUAGCUGGCCUCACGUUGAACGUUAAAUGUAUGCGUCCUGUGAUUGGAUACUCGCUUCCCGCCGUAAAACAACAAGAAGUUCAACGGAGAUUAACCGAUUAGCAGAGAGAGAAAUCUAAUAUCUACUCGCUUUUAAAUUUUACAAUGGCCGAAGGAGGGCAAAGCCUGGAUUUGCGAACUUAAAUUGCUUAACGACGGCCCCAAUGAGACACCAAAGCACGACUGGACACUUGCAAGCAACGGUUCUUCUAAAAACUUUUGGGGACACCCGAGUGGAUGCACAGCUCAACGAACAGGUGCGAAAGGGAAUUAUUGUUGUAACUGAAGCGUACAGAUAAACUGUACAACCAGGUCAUUGAGGUCUUCUUGAGGAAAGAAAGGAGAAUGGAUUUUGUAGUGUUUGGAGGACAGCUGUUUUGCUCCAGCGUCCUCUCUCUGAAAUCCACCCCGAUCGUAGCCUCUGGGUUUUUCAGGAAAGCUCCACCGCAGAAUCUAAGCUAUGCUGACGCUGGACUCACUCUCCUCCUGAAGUCGAGCCAUGACCUCCACAUCUGUCAUGUCCUGCAGUUUGUAGCCCAUAGAGAUGGUUUCGUUGUCCAGGUCUGACACACCAGCGUCACUGUCCAGG